Molecule: RNA transcript, 5463 nt
Organism: Sciurus carolinensis (gray squirrel)
Lineage: Eukaryota; Metazoa; Chordata; Mammalia; Rodentia; Sciuridae
Gene: Fastkd4
Gene name: transforming growth factor beta regulator 4
Exons: 12
Source: RefSeq, a predicted model, not a curated record
CUUGCCUCAUGGGCUUGGGGACAGUACGGGCGGUGGAUGGAGGUCAGCGAGAGUAUUCGUGGCGUAGGUCUCGCGCCAUGGGAAGAAAGGGCUGCUGGGCGUGGGUACUGAAGACUUGAAUGUAGAGAGCUUCAGAAUCAUUUGCUAGGAGUCUAAUCUCCUAUACUCCCAUGCCAUAAUGGCAGCCCGCCUGGUGAAGCAGUGCACAUGCCUCCUGAGAGAAGCUACUCGCUUAUCCCCUGCUAUGGCUCCAGUUAGUCAACUGAGACUUGCCAGGGUAGCCCAUAAGACUUUGACCUUCUCAGCCACCUCACGUAGUUCCCACUCUCCAAGUUCCUUGACAGAACUGGUGGAAAGAGAUCAAGUGUUCACUCCCUACCCAGAGCGCCAAGAAGUAGAUCGGCUCAUCGAGAAGGCCACCAGUCCACAGGAACUCUUAGAACUGGUUGGUGGUGAUCAGAGUCUGCACCACAAUCACGCGGCCCUCAUACUUAUCCGCCUAUCUCGCCUGCUAUCCGAGAAGCCAGAAGACAAGGCCUUGCUUAUACAAGAUGUCCGGUUUCAGCAACUUCUUCAUCUGAUCAGUAGUCAGAUAGCCACAGUCUGGCAUGGGACUCUUGUGAAGCUGCUGCGGAGCUUGUACAUUCUGGAGCUCCCCAAGACCUCCAAGGAACUGCAGUCAGUGGAGCAGGAGGUGCGCUGGCGCCUGCGGAGACUCAAAUACAAGCAUCUGGCCUUCCUGGCUGAGUCCUGUGCCACCUCCAUGCAGGAGCAGCAUUCCCAAGAGCUGCUGGCUGAAUUGCUAGUGCACCUGGAAAGGCGCUGGACAGAGAUUGAAGAUGGUCGCACAGUUGUGGCCAUCAUGAUGAAGGCAGGGCACCUUUCAGAGUCAUUGAUGAACCGCCUGGAAGACAAGUGCCUGGAGCUGGUGGAGCAGUUUGGCCCUGAUGAGCUGCGGAAGGUGCUAGUGACACUGGCAGCUCAGAACCGGCGGUCGGUGCCCUUGCUGCGGGCCAUCUCCUACCACUUGGUACAGAAGCCCCUCCCGCUGACGAAAGGCAUGCUUCUGGACCUGGCCUAUGCCUACGGCAAACUCAGCUUCCACCAGACACAAGUGUCCCAGCGCCUGGCCGCUGACCUCCUGUCCCUCAUGCCCAGCCUGACACCUGGUGAGGUAGCCCGCUGCGCCAAGUCCUUCGCCUUCCUCAAAUGGCUCAACCUGCCCCUGUUUGAAGCCUUUGCCCAGCACAUCUUGGACAGAGCCCAGAAUGUCACCCUGCCUCACCUAUGCAGCAUGCUUCUGGCUUUUGCCCGUUUGAACUUCCACCCAGAAAAAGAGGAUCUGUUCUUCAACCUGGUACAUGAGAGGCUAGACCCUACACUCACAAGCCUGGAGCCAACCCUACAGGUGGACCUAGUGUGGGCACUCUGUGUGCUGCAGCAGGUGCGGGAGGUGGAACUGCAAGCUGUCCUCCAUCCUGGAUUUCACACAAGAUUUCUAGAGGGCAAGUGUCUAAAGGACCAGAGCACCCUCCAGAAGCUGCUCCACAUCAAUGCCACUGCCCUGCUGGAACACCCCGAUUACAAGGGCCCCCUCCUGCCUGCUUCAGCGUUGGCCCCCAGGCCUUCUGCCCCUGACAAGAAGAUGACCCCUUUGCAAAAGGAGCUACAGGAAACACUGAAGGUGCUGCUGGGAAGCUCUGACCGGGGCUGCCUUGAGGUGGCUACGCGAUAUGGCUGGGUGCUGGAUGCGGAGGUACUGUUGGAUGCUGAUGGCCAGUUUCUGCCCCUGAGGGACUUUGUUGCACCUCACCUUGUCCAGCCAGUUGGGAACCAGCCACUGCCCCUGGAGGCUAAGAGGGUUGCUUUUCUACGCUGGGAAUUUCCCAACUUCAAUAGCCGAAGCAAGGACUUGCUAGGCCGCUUUGUCCUGGCCCGGCGCCAUGUGCUGGCUGCAGGCUUCCUGGUGGUGGAUGGCUGGGCAUCUCAUUCACAGAUGAGGAAGUGAAGCUCAGAGGGUCACACAACUGUUGAGAAUCAGAGUGGUCACGGGAGCUGCAGCUCUGCCUCUCUUGUCAGGGUUGGUUCUCAGAAAAGGUCCCAUACUAUGAGUGGCUGGAACUCAAGUCUGAAUGGCAGAAAGGUGCCUACCUCAAGGACAAGAUGCGCAAAGCAGUAGCUGAGGAGCUGGCUAAGUGACCUGUCCCCUUCAGUCUGGACUACAUGCCCACAGGCUGACUACCCAGAGGCCCAGCAGUGAAACGCUGGGUGGGCAAGAACUGGCACCCUUGAGGAUGAACUGUCUCAGUAUAGAACUUUUGCCAGAGUUGGGGAGUGGCCUGCAGGUCCUCUCAUGGCUAAUAAAUCUUUAAAUUUGGUGUUCAGAACCAGGUGGCUUCCCAAGCUUUGUCACUCUCCUCCCCUCUGCUACACAUCUGCAUUGGAAGGCUAGAAAUGGCUCUUUGGGGCUUGGCAUGGAACCCAGCAAAGGAGGGCUGACCUGAAGGACAGAAAACCUGGGGCUCAGACCUGAGAUGUCUUUUCCUGCUGCCUGCCCCAGCUUCUUUCUGGGGUCCUUACUGUAGUGUGUGCACAUCCACAUGUGUCAGCUCAUUAUUGCUGGGGGGCCUGUGACCAACCCCUGCAAACCAAGUCCUAGAAUUCUGAAUUUCCAGGGAUGAUGGAAGGGAAGUCAUUUGAGUUUCUGGUGCAUAGCAGGGCUUUUGACCCAGCCUGACAACUCAAUCACUGUCCUGGGAGGCUCCCUCCCAUCCCUUGUUGCACACUUCGGUAAGUGGAAGGUCCUUGAUGGCCUCUGGUGACGUGGUAUGAGGACUGGGUAGAUUCAUGGAGGGUCCUGAGGCAGCCUCACUGCUUCUGCUGAGAAGCAGCAGGGUGUGUACCUUCCAACCUCUGUCAGAAACUCCCAUUGACAGAGCCUACCUGGAAGGGGGUGUGGUUGCUGUGGAUCUCCCCCAGCCAUUGGUGAACCUCUCACAACUGCUCCCCAUGCCAACCCAUUCCCUCAAAGGAGUUUAAUUGCUCCUCUGAAGCCUGUCAUCCCUCCAAGCAUUAGGAUCAUUUUGGGUCAGAUAACACUGGUCAUUUGCAGGUCCAGGUGUGCAGAACAGUUUCUUGCCUUGCAUGGACUGUCAGUUACACAAAGGAGUGAUCCCUGGCCCAGUUGGAAGGGGAUAAGCAGCUAGAGCUGGCAUUCUGAGGGAGGAGGGAAAAGCAUUCCAAAGUGAAGCAACAGUGUGGGCAAGUGCCUGGUCUUAGAGGGGACACACAAUGUGUACAGUGCUAAGGCCAACUAGCUGGAGAACCCAACUCUGGGAGAGCCUGAGUGCGUCCAAGGAAAUAAAUAUUUGUCCUGCGCACCACUUGGGGCCACUGGUUUUUAUUUUGAGGUAACUGGGGGCACCAUGUAGUUAUUAAGAAACAAGUGGUUCCCUCCCUCAAUUGUAGAACUAGAUGACAAAGUUCUACUGCAAUACUGAUGUAAGCAGAAGUCAGCCUAGACAUUCUCAUCACAUUGCCCAUAGGAUACCUCUUGUCCUCAACCAUCUGCAACCAUGAACCUUUGUUACUACUGUUUUAUCUUUACUGAUAAAAGUGAACAUAAAAUCUAGGUUCAGGUUUUUGUGUAAGUUUUUGUUAAUUUAGGGUAAACAUGCUAGGAGUAUAACUUUUUUUUUUUUAAUAUAUUUUUUAGUUGUCAAUGGACCUUUACUUUAUUUAUUUAUAUGUGGUGCUGAGGAUCGAACCCAGUGCUUCACACAUGCUAGGCAAGUGCUCUUCCACUGAGCCACAACCCCAGCCCAGGUAUGAAGACUGGGUAGAUUCAUGGAGGGUCCUGAGGCAGCCUCACUGCUUCUGCUGAGAAGCAGCAGGGUGUGUACCUUCCAACCUCUGUCAGAAACUCCCAUUGACAGAGCCUACCUGGAAGGGGGUGUGGUUGCUGUGGAUCUCCCCCAGCCAUUGGUGAACCUUCUCACAACUGCUCCCCAUGCCAACCCAUUCCCUCAAAGGAGUUUAAUUGCUCCUCUGAAGCCUGUCAUCCCUCCAAGCAUUAGGAUCAUUUUGGGUCAGCCCAGGAGAAUAACUCUUAGGUCAUUUCAUACAGAACUAUGAAUAGCUAUUUUCUGGAGUGUCUGUAUCAUUUUACAUUUCAGUCAACAGUGUGUGGGACAUCCACAUUCCACCCAGUAUUUGCUGGUAUCACUAGUUUUUUGUUUUUGUUUUUUUAAGUAAUUUGUCCAGGUGUGUAGUGAUUAUAAUGGUUUUAAGAUGCAUUUUCCUAAGUGACUAGUGAUCUUAACAUUUUUUUCACCUCUGAUAAAUUGACAAUAGAUGUUUAUUUGUCAUUUGUCUAUCAUCUGGUGAAAUGUCUCCACGUCUUUUGUCUGUGGAGUGAUAGCUUUUUCAUCAGUAAAUUUUGAGGGUGUUUUUUAUAUUCUAGAUCCUAACCCUUUGUUGAAUAUAUGAUCUGCAAAUAUUUUCUCCCAGUCUGCUUUUUGGUUAUUUUUACCAGAAUUUUAACCCACUGAAUGAAUCACAUCCCCAGCCCCUUUAUAUUUAAUUUUAUUUUGAGACAGGAUCUUAUUAGGUUGCUUACAGCGUCACUAACCACUGGAAUUACAGGUAUGCACCAUCAUGCCUGAUUGGAGACAGGAUCAUGCUAAAUUGCCCAGGAUGAUCUCAAACUUGCAAUCCUCCUGCCUUAGCCUCCCAAGUAGCUAGGAUUACAGGCAUGCACACUACACUCAACUUAAUCAGAUCUUUUGCAGAGCAUAAGUUUUUAAAUUUUCAGGGAGUUCAAUUGUCAGUGUUUGCUUUUCAUGGGACCUGACUACCCCUAAGUCCUAGAAACUCAAUUAUUUUCCUAUGAGUAUUAACAGUUUAACAUUUACACAUAAUUCCAUGAUCCAUUUUGAGGAUAUGUUGAAGUUUCCUUCAAAUGGAGAAACUUAUUUGCACAAUUUUUGUGAGACUUAAAUUGAGGGGUUUUUGUAACCUCUAGAUUCCCAACUGCUCCAGAACCAUUUCUUGAAAAAACCAUCCUAAACCAGUCAUGGUGUAUACCUGUAAUCACAGCAACUCGGUGGGGCUGAGUCAGGAGGAUCACAAGUUUGAAGCCAAUGUAGACAAUUUACAAGACCCUGUGUCAAAAUAAAAAUUAGGGAAGAACUGGGAAUGUAUGUAGCUUGCCUAGCAUGUGCAAUCCCUGAGUUCAACCCCUAGUACCACAAAUAAUAGGAAAAAAAAAAAAAAAGACAAGAUUAUCCUCUCCCACUCACUUGUCUUUUCACUUCAAAAAGGCAACUGGGGGACACACAGCACUGGGGCCCCUUCUCUUUGGAGAAGGCUAUCUCUUUUCCACCCAUUAAAUAUAACUUGCUUUCUAUGCUUGGGGGAAAAAAAAAAAUCAAUCGGGACCAGGCACGUGGUGCACACCUGUAA